CUUCUGUGAACGUCUCCUUCUCAGAAAAGAUUUGGAAUGUCUCCAUUGUUUAUAGAUGUAUUCUCUUGUGGUGGGAAUUCUUCCACUGAGCCACAUCCCGACAUUGCGUGAUUGAGGUAUAGACGCCUGGGAAACUUUACUUAAUUGCACACGAAGUUCUAUAGAAUUUCCCCCACAGAGCAGUGGGCUUGCUCUGUCAAAUGUUCAAGACCUCAAUUUGCUGUUGGCUCACCCCCAGCGCAGUCAUGCGGUCAGUCAUACAAAUGCUCACAAACGCCCUUUGCAUCAGAGGAAUGGUAGCUGAUGGCUCCCUCCAGGCUCUCUUUCCUCAAAACGUGUCUGAAAAUGAAAUUCCAACCUAUGCAUCGGCAAGGACUUAACUUUUAUGUUUGUUUUGCCCAAGGCACGGACCAUGUCAGGGAAGAUGGAGACACCUUCACGGCCUGUUAGUUACAUCUCCACAAAGCUUCUCAAUGGGCUGUCGGACAAGAAAGAAGCCUCCUGUAGCCAUCGUAAAUCAACAUCACCAUCUGUGAGGGCUGGGUGUCCAUCUUGGAAUGUGAAGAUGUUGCCUGCACUAGACAAUGCUGGGAAGGGAGCAAUGGUGCCCAGUAUAAUGACAGCAAGCAAAAGCAAACCUGCCGCACAGUCUGCUUCAAGUGCCCUGCACUGUUUCUCAGAGGCCAUGGAAGACAGAAAAAUUCUGUAACAAGAACUUCUGUAACAAGAACUUCUCAGGUCAGGAAGAAUACGGAAAAGUAUCCUUCUCAACUGCAAAAGAGUAAGAGAAGAUGGCCUCAUUGUCAGAGGGCCAGGGUUGG
Molecule: long non-coding RNA, 821 nt
Filed under: Cricetulus griseus (Chinese hamster)
Lineage: Eukaryota; Metazoa; Chordata; Mammalia; Rodentia; Cricetidae
Description: lncRNA (ENSCGRG00000024344.1)
Source: RNAcentral